GCCCGGAUGAGCCUCAGUGGUUUGGGGUGCAGGCUUCAAACCUGUAGCCGACUAACGUCGGAGUGGUUCGAUUCCACCCUUCGGGC
Molecule: non-coding RNA, 86 nt
Organism: Biomphalaria glabrata
Lineage: Eukaryota; Metazoa; Mollusca; Gastropoda; Planorbidae
Source: Rfam